RNAcentral lists this ribosomal RNA (447 nucleotides) under uncultured bacterium. RNAcentral describes it as "partial 16S ribosomal RNA". It matches the Rfam family "Bacterial small subunit ribosomal RNA", at positions 29 to 523 of the family's 1533-position model. The record is from RNAcentral.
AGCGAACGCUGGCGGCAGGCUUAACACAUGCAAGUCGAACGCCCCGCAAGGGGAGUGGCAGACGGGUGAGUAACACGUGGGAACGUACCCUUUGGUUCGGAAUAACUUGGGGAAACUCAAGCUAAUACCGGAUAAGCCCUUAUGGGGAAAGGUUUACUGCCGAAGGAUCGGCCCGCGCCUGAUUAGCUAGUUGGUGGGGUAAUGGCUCACCAAGGCGACGAUCAGUAGCUGGUCUGAGAGGAUGAUCAGCCACACUGGGACUGAGACACGGCCCAGACUCCUACGGGAGGCAGCAGUGGGGAAUAUUGGACAAUGGGGGCAACCCUGAUCCAGCCAUGCCGCGUGAGUGAUGAAGGCCUUAGGGUUGUAAAGCUCUUUUACCCGGGACGAUAAUGACUGUACCGGGAGAAUAAGCCCCGGCUGACUUCGUGCCAGCAGCCGCCGUAA